GUGGGGAAUAUUGGACAAUGGGGGGAACCCUGAUCCAGCCAUGCCGCGUGUGUGAAGAAGGCCUUUUGGUUGUAAAGCACUUUAAGUGGGGAGGAGGCUUACCUGGUUAAUACCUGGGCUAAGUGGACGUUACCCACAGAAUAAGCACCGGCUAACUCUGUGCCAGCAGCCGCGGUAAUACAGAGGGUGCGAGCGUUAAUCGGAUUUACUGGGCGUAAAGCGCGCGUAGGUGGUUAAUUAAGUCAAAUGUGAAAUCCCCGAGCUUAACUUGGGAAUUGCAUUCGAGACUGGUUAGCUAGAGUAUGGGAGAGGAUGGUAGAAUUCCAGGUGUAGCGGUGAAAUGCGUAGAGAUCUGGAGGAAUACCGAUGGCGAAGGCAGCCAUCUGGCCUAAUACUGACACUGAGGUGCGAAAGCAUGGGGAGCAAACAGGAUUAGAAACCCUUGUAGUCC
RNAcentral lists this ribosomal RNA (451 nucleotides) under uncultured bacterium. Its description in RNAcentral is "partial 16S ribosomal RNA". It matches the Rfam family "Bacterial small subunit ribosomal RNA", at positions 354 to 796 of the family's 1533-position model. The record is from RNAcentral.